Molecule: ribosomal RNA, 485 nt
Filed under: uncultured bacterium
Lineage: Bacteria
Description: partial 16S ribosomal RNA
Rfam family: Bacterial small subunit ribosomal RNA
Source: RNAcentral
AUUGAACGCUGGCGGCAUGCCUUACACAUGCAAGUCGAACGGCAGCGGGCCCUUCGGGGUGCCGGCGAGUGGCGAACGGGUGAGUAAUGCAUCGGAACGUACCCGGGAGAGGGGGAUAACCGGCCGAAAGGCUGGCUAAUACCGCAUGAACUCGGAAGAGCAAAGCGGGGGACCUUCGGGCCUCGCGCUCUCGGAGCGGCCGAUGUCCGCAUAGGCUAGUUGGUGGGGUAACGGCCCACCAAGGCGACGAUCGGUAGCGGGUCUGAGAGGACGAUCCGCCACACUGGGACUGAGACACGGCCCAGACUCCUACGGGAGGCAGCAGUGGGGAAUCUUGGACAAUGGGCGCAAGCCUGAUCCAGCAAUGCCGCGUGGGUGAAGAAGGCCUUCGGGUUGUAAAGCCCUGUUGGCGGGGAAGAAAUCGGUCAGGCGAAUAGACGGGCCGGAUGACGGUACCCGCAGAAGAAGCACCGGCUAACUACGUG